RNAcentral lists this ribosomal RNA (463 nucleotides) under uncultured bacterium. RNAcentral describes it as "partial 16S ribosomal RNA". It matches the Rfam family "Bacterial small subunit ribosomal RNA", at positions 28 to 507 of the family's 1533-position model. The record is from RNAcentral.
GACGAACGCUGGCGGCGUGCUUAACACAUGCAAGUCGAACGGUAAGGCCCCAGCUUGCUGGGGUACACGAGUGGCGAACGGGUGAGUAACACGUGGGUGACCUGCCCUGCACUUCGGGAUAAGCCUGGGAAACUGGGUCUAAUACCGGAUAGGACCGCACCGUGCGGGGGUGGUGGAGAGUAUUUGGGUGGGGGAGGGACGGGCGGCCGAUCGGCUGGUUGGUGGGGUAAGGGCCAACCAAGGCGGGGUUGGGUAGCUGGCCGGAGAGGGUGGGCGGCCACAUGGGGCUGGAGACACGGCCAAGAUCCUUACGGGAGGAAGCAGUGGGGAAUAUUGCACAAGGGGCGGAAGCCUGAGGAAGCGACGCGGGGUGGGGGAGGACGGCUUUCGGGUGGUAACUGCUUUCACCAUCGACGAAGGUUUUCUGACGGUAGAUGGAGAAGAAGCACCGGCUAACUACGUG